GAAACGAUCGUUAAUACCGCAUAACAUAAUUGAACCGCAUGAUUUGAUUAUCAAAGAUUUAUUGCUGAAAGAUGAGCUCGCGUCUGAUUAGCUAGUUGGUAAGGUAACGGCUUACCAAGGCGACGAUCAGUAGCCGGACUGAGAGGUUGAUCGGCCACAUUGGGACUGAGACACGGCCCAGACUCCUACGGGAGGCAGCAGUGGGGAAUAUUGCACAAUGGAGGAAACUCUGAUGCAGCGAUGCCGCGUGAGGGAAGAAGGUUUUAGGAUUGUAAACCUCUGUCUUCAGGGACGAAAAAUGACGGUACCUGAGGAGGAAGCUCCGGCUAACUACGUGCCAGCAGCCGCGGUAAUACGUAGGGAGCGAGCGUUGUCCGGAAUUACUGGGUGUAAAGGGAGCGUAGGCGGGAUCGCAAGUCAGAUGUGAAAACUAUGGGCUUAACCCAUAAACUGCAUUUGAAACUGUGGUUCUUGAGUGAAGUAGAGGUAAGCGGAAUUCCUAGUGUAGCGGUGAAAUGCGUAGAUAUUAGGAGGAACAUCAGUGGCGAAGGCGGCUUACUGGGCUUUAACUGACGCUGAGGCUCGAAAGCGUGGGGAGCAAACAGGACUAGAUACCCUGGUAGUCCACGCCGUAAACGAUGAUUACUAGGUGUGGGGGGACUGACCCCUUCCGUG
This 675-nucleotide ribosomal RNA is filed under the name uncultured bacterium. Its description in RNAcentral is "bacterial SSU rRNA". It matches the Rfam family "Bacterial small subunit ribosomal RNA", at positions 153 to 845 of the family's 1533-position model. The record is from RNAcentral.